CGCCUGUUUAUCAAAAACAUCUUUUCUUGUUAGUUUUUGAAGUAUGGCCUGCCCGCUGACAUUUGGUGUUGAAGGGCCGCGGUAUUUUGACCGUGCAAAGGUAGCAUAAUCAUUAGUUCUUUAAUUGUGAUCUGGAAUGAAUGGCUUGACGAGGCACGGGCUGUCUUAGUGUUGAAUGUUUUAUUGAAUUUGGUCUUUGAGUUAAAAUUCUUAGAUGUUUUUGUGGGAAGAGAAGACCCUAUAGAGUUUGACAUUUGGUUUAUUUACUUGUUUGUUGUUUGUUUAUUUUUGGUGAGUGGGCUUUUUGUCUUGUUGGGGUGAUGGGAGGAAUGUACUUAACUCCUCUUAGUUUUGGUUAUAUUGAUUUAUAAUUGUUUGAUCCAUUUAUUUUGAUUAUAAGACUAAAUUACCUUAGGGAUAACAGCGU
Molecule: ribosomal RNA, 427 nt
Filed under: Coptotermes gestroi
Lineage: Eukaryota; Metazoa; Arthropoda; Insecta; Blattodea; Rhinotermitidae
Description: partial large subunit ribosomal RNA
Rfam family: Bacterial large subunit ribosomal RNA (bases 1-176)
Source: RNAcentral